Oncorhynchus keta (chum salmon) is the source of this 226-nucleotide long non-coding RNA. RefSeq lists it as uncharacterized. Lineage: Eukaryota; Metazoa; Chordata; Actinopteri; Salmoniformes; Salmonidae. The transcript has 3 exons. The record is from RefSeq and is a predicted model, not a curated record.
CCAUAGGUAACAUUAUGGCAUUCCAUAGGUAACAUCCCAUAGGUAACAUUAUGGCCUUCCAUAGGUAACAUCCCAUAGGUAACAUUAUGGCCUUCCAUAGGUAACAUUAUGACCUUCCAUAGGUAACAUCCCAUAGGUAACAUUAUGGCCUUCCAUAGGUAACAUCCCAUAGGUAACAUUAUGGCCUUCCAUAGGUAACAUUAUGACCUUCCAUAGGUAACAUCCC